Molecule: long non-coding RNA, 611 nt
Organism: Gossypium raimondii (Peruvian cotton)
Lineage: Eukaryota; Viridiplantae; Streptophyta; Magnoliopsida; Malvales; Malvaceae
Exons: 2
Source: RefSeq, a predicted model, not a curated record
UCUUCUCCCUUUUUCUUCUUCUUUUUUCUUUCUUCUUUCUUCUUCUUCGGGCAGCACCUUAACCCCACGUGCGCCUUUGAGGGUGUUUCCUCCACCUGGUACGACGGCCGGUGGUGGCACGGUGGCGAUGAAGGGAUGACUGGGCUUUCUUUUUGGACCUUUCUUUUUGCUUUUUUUCUUGUUUUUUGCUGCUGCGUUUUUGUUUUGCUUCUCUUUUUGUUUCACUUUCUCUUGGCUUCUAGGUGGUGGUACGGUGGCUGCGGUGGAGGGUAGUGGCACGACGGUGGCGAGGGCUGUUGGGCUGUUAUUGUUUGGAUUUUUUUUGAAUUUUCUCUGUGGCAGAGGAGGGCAUCAUGGCCUAGGUCAUCUGCUGAAGUAGCUGGAGGUGAGGGGAAGCACGCUCGGCUGCUGAUUGGGGGGGUCUGACGUGCCCAGAAGGACCAAAAUAUUUGGGCUAAAAAUGUAAUUUUAGGAAAAUAUGGGGCCAAAAUGUAAUUUUCAAAAAGUUUAGGGGUCAAAGUGUAAUUUUGAGAAAGUUUGGGGCCAAAAUGUAAUUUUAGCAAAGUUUGGGGUCAAAAUGUAAAUUUUUAUUUUUUGUAUUUUUUAUUUUA